GUGAUAUUUGAUGACACGUUGUAGAGAAGUAUAGCUUGUUAAGAUUGCGAAUACAAGGCUUAAAAGAAGCAAGUUUCAACUUAAAAAUAUGAGUCUUAGAGGUCAGUUGGCAUCUACGAACCUUUUGGAUGGGCCAGUUUAGAUUCCAAUUCUAAGCAUGAUAUUCAGUGUAAUGUACUAAAGUCUUUAUGCUUUGAAAAAGCACUUCAUCUUACAUGAACAAGUUUACAUUAUCAUUUGAUUAAUGGUGGUAUCAGUCUAAGUUGGUGUCUAUGGUAUAUUAAAAGAAGACCAUAUCCAAUACAAAACUAAAGAAAUUUGCAUAAGAACAAAGGUUUUCAGUGCUUUCUGUUGUCAUAAUGUACGUCACGAACAUGGUACUUUAAAGUAUUAUAGUGAAAAAAUUUGUCCAUUUUGAAAGUGAUAGUAUCACUAUCAUUAAUGAGUCAACUAUAGAUCACAGAGACAAGCGAUGCAUCCAAUUUAGUGGAAAACACUUUUGGAAGGAGAGAAUAUUUGACAAGUUUAUCAUCUAAUAAAUUAAACAGAAAAAUUAAUUGCUAGUUUUAGUUCUUCUUAUUGGAUGUAAAUCCUAAACUCAUAAUUGUUAGACUAAAAGGAUAAGGAACAAAAAUUCUUUAUACUAUUGUCUCCACAAAGGUUGAAAUGCAUUGAGGGUGGCCUUCUUCCUUGUAUGUAAUUUGACCAAAUAACUUCUGUUAGAUUAAAAAAAAAAGUCAAAAAAAAUACACUUGGAUCGAUGU
RNAcentral lists this unclassified non-coding RNA (764 nucleotides) under Hevea brasiliensis (rubber tree). Lineage: Eukaryota; Viridiplantae; Streptophyta; Magnoliopsida; Malpighiales; Euphorbiaceae. The record is from RNAcentral.